AGCCGGAUCCUGAACAACAGAAAAGUUGCGAACCCCGCCAGGUCCGGAAGGAAGCAACGGUAGUAAUGAUUCUGGGUGUUUGGGGUAUCCGGCUAUC
Molecule: signal recognition particle RNA, 97 nt
Filed under: Pseudomonadota bacterium
Lineage: Bacteria; Pseudomonadati; Pseudomonadota
Description: Proteobacteria bacterium (sediment metagenome) signal recognition particle sRNA small type
Rfam family: Bacterial small signal recognition particle RNA
About the family: The signal recognition particle (SRP) is a universally conserved ribonucleoprotein involved in the co-translational targeting of proteins to membranes. Archaeal SRP consists of a 7S RNA and homologues of the eukaryotic SRP19 and SRP54 proteins.
Source: RNAcentral